This 573-nucleotide long non-coding RNA is filed under the name Anas platyrhynchos platyrhynchos (common mallard). Its description in RNAcentral is "lncRNA (ENSAPLG00000024282.1)". Lineage: Eukaryota; Metazoa; Chordata; Aves; Anseriformes; Anatidae. The record is from RNAcentral.
UGCACUAUUGGCAUUCUGCCCCACAGCCAUGUAAAUUUUCCUCCAUCUGAAUGUUCACUGCCGUCUUUUAGAUUCCUCUGCUGACAGUGAAGAGGUCACGCUAAAUCAAACUGACAGAGAAACUGGACAUCAACUUUACCCAGGAUGCCCAAAUUAAUUCUACCGAAACAAAAGGGUCAACCUCACUUUGGCUGGCUUGUCUUCUUGAUUUCUUCGUUGGUGGUGCUAAAGAGAGUUGACGAGAUGGGAAGAAAGUGGCAGGGAUUGCUGAGUCUGAACAUCACUUCUGCUAAGCUUGGAGCAGCACUGAAGCUAUUUUAAACAAGUUUUUAUCUGCUUGCAGGAAGGCAGUAAUCAAGCAAAGCAAAAGCUGGGCAGAAUGAGGCCAUGCAGUCUGAGACAGUGGUUCCAAAUGCAGCAGUUGGUGUGAGCACAAGGAAUAAGUAAGAUAACAAGCUGUAAGCAUGAUUUACAAGCAUGCAGAGAGGCGAGACCCUUUGGGCCUUAUGACUCACUGGACGGGGAGGCUUGGGCAUGCUAAACAACGAAAGUGGCUGUUAGGGUGUGAUUUUU